GCUGGGAAUACAGCUCAGUGGGUAAAGUGCUUGCCUCGCAUGCACACGGCCCUGGGGUCAAUCCCCAGCACUGCA
Molecule: transfer RNA, 75 nt
Filed under: Marmota monax (woodchuck)
Lineage: Eukaryota; Metazoa; Chordata; Mammalia; Rodentia; Sciuridae
Description: tRNA.Ala
Source: RNAcentral